ACCAGACCCAGUGUAGGCGAGGAGGCCGGGAGGAAAUGAAACACCAGACCCAGUGCAGGCGAGGAGCCCGGGAGGAACUGAAACACCAGACGCAGUGCAGUCCAUUAAGGCUGCUACAGCAGAAUCACACAGCCUGGGUGGAUUCUAAACCACAGAGACCUGUCUCACAGCUCCGGAGGCUGGAAGUCUGAGACCAAGGUGCUUGCCGAUGCGGUGUCUGCAGGGCCCUCUUCCCUUCCAGAAGACACCAUCUGGCUGUGUCUUCACCUGGGGAAAGGGGCAGGGCAGCUCUCAGGGCCUCUUCUAUGGGAGAACUCAUCCUAUUCAGGAGGGUUUCACCCUCAUGCCUUCCCAAAGACCAACUGAUUUCAGUUUUCCCAAAUGAUUUCAACGUUUCAGAUUUGAGGGGACAGACAUUCAGUCUACUGCACCUUGCAUUUGGGGACUCUGUGUCCAUAAAGACUCCAAAUUGUCCAAACUGAAUUUAACAAUCAGGUAAUGAUCAUCAGAAUAACUCCAGCUAGUUCUGACCCUGAAGGGAAGAGAUAUUAUUUGUUCAAAGUCACAUUUCUUUACUCUCCUUUCCUAACGUAAUCUACUAUUUAAACAGAAUUAUAACAUUACAUAUUAAGUCUAUCCUAGUGGGAGGAUAAUGACACUUAUUGAGGUGUGGCCAUUACAUUUUAAAAUACUUAUCACUUUAUAAGCUUACAUUGAAAAGACAAGUAAGUAUUUUUUUUCAGGUGUACUGAUGAAUUAAAAAACAGUGACAAAAAGCAAAUAUCUGCUGUGCAUCAACCAUGGGACAUUGUUUUAGGGCCCUAGAGAGGAUGGGGGUGCAAACAGGAUCAGGGCAUCAUCCUGACCAGGCAAAGAGCUCAGCAUCAAUGGGGCAAAUAUCUAUCUACAAGAGUUCUUGCGAUCUACGGAAAAUGGCAGUAAGGAUGUGAUUAGCAAAACCAAAGUACCAAGGAAGAAGAAUAAAGGGAGGAACUCAGUAUAAGCAGAUACGCCACAUGGAGAAUGAGCCAUCUGACCUGACAUUUCAGGAGGUGACAUCACCAGGUGGAAAAGAAAGAUGUAUGUCCCUAGAUGCAAAAGCUCGAGAGAGCCUUGCUGGUGACUAAGACCCUGGGUGCCGAGGCUUGAGAAGAGCAGUGUCUGGAUCUGGUCUGAGAAUUGCAAACAGUGUGCUGUGGCCUACAGAUGAGGUCCCGAAGCUUUGAUCUCUGUGAAUUCCUUUUUAUCCCAUUCUACUUGGAACAACAAUACAAUAUCAAUCUUCCUCCGCUGCCCCUGGGUGUGCUUCUCCCAGCCAACAACCUUCCAGAGAUUGCCACCAAUUACAGGAAAAAAAUCCGUACUACUCCAGCAGGAAUUUAAAGCCUCCUUCUUUCUCUGUCCCCCACCUCUGUGGUCUGCCUUCCACUCCUCUCCAGUAGAGGUGUGCUGGAUCCACACACGCCUCCCUUAUGCCUAUUACAACAUUGCUCCUGCCGGGAAACGUUUCCCAAAUUCAACCCCAUUAAAGGGAGGAGAGGCAGGAGGCUGAGGACUCUACAUUUAUCCAACAAAGAGAAAAUGGAUCUCUUAAUUAGACAGUGGCAGUUGGCAAGGAUUGGCACCUGUUUAUUUUUGACCAAGAAGAAUCAAUCAUAGGCUCUAGAGCAGCAGGAGACUUCUGAGGUGAUCUCAUUGAGGGACUAUGUGGCAUUUGAAUCUUCCUUAUAAAAGAGUAAAGAGAACACUGCUCUACUAUAAUUUUAACCCCCUUUGAGGGAAUUUGUU
Molecule: long non-coding RNA, 1788 nt
Filed under: Homo sapiens (human)
Lineage: Eukaryota; Metazoa; Chordata; Mammalia; Primates; Hominidae
Description: HSALNT0025919
Source: RNAcentral